GAUGAACGCUGGCGGCGUGCUUAACACAUGCAAGUCGAACGGGAAACUUUUCAUUGAAGCUUCGGCAGAUUUGGUCUGCUUCUAGUGGCGGACGGGUGAGUAACGCGUGGGUAAUCUGCCUUAUUCAGGGGGCUAACAACAAGACCUGGUUGCUAAUACCGCAUAAGCGCACAGGACCGCAUGGUCCGGUGUGAAAAACUCCGGUGGUAUAAGAUGGACCCGCGUUGGAUUAGCUAGUUGGCAGUGUAACGGCCUACCAAGGCGACGAUCCAUAGCCGGCCUGAGAGGGUGCACGGCCACAAUGGGACUGAGACACAGCCCAGACUCCUACGGAAGGCAGCAGUGGAGAACAUUGCACAAUGGGGGAAACCCUGAUGCAGCGGCGCCGCGUGAAGGAAGAAGUAGCUCGUUAUGUAAACUCCUAUCAGCAGGGAAGUUAGUGACGGUACCUGACAAAGAAGCCCCGGCUAACUACGUG
Molecule: ribosomal RNA, 478 nt
Filed under: uncultured bacterium
Lineage: Bacteria
Description: partial 16S ribosomal RNA
Rfam family: Bacterial small subunit ribosomal RNA
Source: RNAcentral